This 497-nucleotide ribosomal RNA is filed under the name uncultured bacterium. Its description in RNAcentral is "partial 16S ribosomal RNA". It matches the Rfam family "Bacterial small subunit ribosomal RNA", at positions 28 to 507 of the family's 1533-position model. The record is from RNAcentral.
GAUGAACGCUGGCGGCGUGCCUAAUACAUGCAAGUCGAGCGAACGGACGAUAAGCUUGCUUCUUUGAUGUUAGCGGCGGACGUGUGAGUAACACGUGGAUAACCUACCUAUAUGACUGGGAUCACUUCGGGAAACCGGAGCUAAUACCGGAUAAUAUUUUGAUCCGCAUUGUUCAAUAGUAAAAGACGGUCUUGCUGUCACGUAUAGAUGGAUCCGCGCUGCAUUAGCUAUUUGGUAAGGUAACGGCUUACCAGGGCAACGAUGCAUAGCCGAUGUGAGAGGGUGAUCGCCCACCCGGGAGGUGAGACAGGGCCCAGGCUCCUGCGGGAGGCAGCAGUGGGGAAUGUUGCGCAAUGGGCGAAAGCCUGCCGGAACAGCCGCGCGUGAGAGGUAGAGGUUUUGGGAUCGUAAAACUCUGUUAUUAGGGAAAAACAUAUGUGUAAGUAAAUGUGCCCAUCUUGACGGUACCUAAUAAAAAAGCAACGGCUAACUACGUG